UACGUAGGGGGCUAGCGUUGUCCGGAAUCAUUGGGCGUAAAGAGCGUGUAGGCGGUCCGGUAAGUCCGCUGUGAAAGUCGGGGGCUCAACCCUCGAAUGCCGGUGGAUACUGUCGGGCUAGAGUGCGGAAGAGGCGAGUGGAAUUCCUGGUGUAGCGGUGAAAUGCGCAGAUAUCAGGAGGAACACCCGUGGCGAAAGCGGCUCUCUGGGACGGUACUGACGCUGAGACGCGAAAGCGUGGGGAGCAAACAGG
RNAcentral lists this ribosomal RNA (253 nucleotides) under uncultured bacterium. RNAcentral describes it as "partial 16S ribosomal RNA". It matches the Rfam family "Bacterial small subunit ribosomal RNA", at positions 524 to 776 of the family's 1533-position model. The record is from RNAcentral.